CAGGGAAUUAGCAAUGGAUUGUUGAAGAGGUGGAUUUCUCAAAAUGAAGUUGUGGUCAUAGGUUUAUACUUAUGAAUCCAGACUAGGAAUCAGCCGAACUGAAUUCUAUAUUUAAAAAGUGAUCUUGAGUAAAUCACAUUCUUUCUUUUUUUGGUGCCACAGUUUCCUUUUAUUUCUCAUGGAACAGUGACUAAGAUGAAAGGUCUGAGUUUUCUUCUUCCUUCUUCCUUCUUCCUUCUUCCUUCUUUCUUCUUCUCCUUCUCCUUCUCCUUCUGCUGCUGCUGCUUCUUCUUCUUCUUCUUCUGCUGCUGCUGCUGCUACUGCUUCUUCUGCUGCUGCUGCUGCUGCUUCUUCUUCUUCUUCUGCUUAUGCUUCUUCUGCUGCUGCUGCUUCUUUUCUUUUGCUUCUGCUUCUUCUUCUGCUUCUUCUUUUCUUUUGCUUCUGCUUCUGCUUCUUCUUCUGCUUCUUCUUCUGCUUCUGCUUCUGCUUCUGCUUCUUCUGCUUCUUCUGCUUCUGCUUCUUCUGCUUCUUCUGCUUCUGCUUCUGCUUCUGCUUCUGCUUCUGCUUCUGCUUCUGCUUCUGCUUCUGCUUCCGCUGCUUCCGCUGCUUCCGCUGCUUCCGCUUCUUCCGCUUCUUCCGCUUCUUCCGCUUCUUCUGCUUCUUCUGCUUCUUCUUCUGCUUCUUCUGCUUCUUCUUCUGCUUCUUCUGCUGCUUCUGCUUCUGCUUCUUCUGUUUCUGCUUCUGCUUCUGCUUCUGCUUCUGCUUCUUCUGCUUCUGCUUCUUCUGCUUCUGCUUCUUCUGUUUCUGCUUCUGCUUCUGGUUCUGCUUCUUCUUCUGCUUCUUCUGCUUCUGCUUCUGCUUCUGCUUCUUCUUCUGCUUCUUCUGCUUCUUCUUCUGCUUCUGCUUCUGCUUCUGCUUCUUCUGUUUCUGCUUCUGCUUCUGCUUCUGCUUCUUCUGUUUCUGCUUCUGCUUCUGCUUCUGCUUCUGCUUCUUCUGUUUCUGCUUCUGCUUCUGUUUCUGCUUCUGCUUCUGCUUCUUCUGCUUCUGCUUCUGCUUCUUCUGUUUCUGCUUCUGCUUCUGUUUCUGCUUCUGCUUCUGCUUCUUCUGUUUCUGCUUCUGCUUCUGCUUCUGCUUCUUCUGUUUCUGCUUCUGCUUCUGCUUCUGCUUCUGCUUCUUCUGCUUCUGCUUCUUCUGCUUCUGCUUCUGCUUCUUCUGCUUCUUCUGUUUAUUCUGCUUCUUCUGCUUCUUCUUCUUUUUCUUCUUCUUCUGCUUCUGCUUCUUUUUCUUCUUCUUCUGCUUCUUCUUCUGCUUCUUCUGCUUCUGCUUCUUCUGCUUCUGCUUCUGCUUCUUCUUCUGCUUCUUCUGCUUCUUCUGCUUCUGCUUCAUCAAGAUAUUUUAUUUUCCCAAUUAUAUG
RNAcentral lists this long non-coding RNA (1414 nucleotides) under Monodelphis domestica (gray short-tailed opossum). RNAcentral describes it as "lncRNA (ENSMODG00000038926.1)". The record is from RNAcentral. Lineage: Eukaryota; Metazoa; Chordata; Mammalia; Didelphimorphia; Didelphidae.